GAUGAACGCUAGCUACAGGCUUAACACAUGCAAGUCGAGGGGAAACGACAUCGAAAGCUUGCUUUUGGUGGGCGUCGACCGGCGCACGGGUGAGUAACGCGUAUCCAACCUGCCCACCACUUGGGGAUAACCUUGCGAAAGUAAGACUAAUACCCAAUGAUAUCUCUAGACGACAUCUGAAAGGGAUUAAAGAUUUAUCGGUGAUGGAUGGGGAUGCGUCUGAUUAGCUUGUUGGCGGGGUAACGGCCCACCAAGGCAACGAUCAGUAGGGGUUCUGAGAGGAAGGUCCCCCACAUUGGAACUGAGACACGGUCCAAACUCCUACGGGAGGCAGCAGUGAGGAAUAUUGGUCAAUGGGCGAGAGCCUGAACCAGCCAAGUAGCGUGCAGGAUGACGGCCCUAUGGGUUGUAAACUGCUUUUAUAAGGGAUAAAGUGAGAGUCGUGACUCUUUUUGCAUGUACCUUAUGAAUAAGGACCGGCUAAUUCCGUG
RNAcentral lists this ribosomal RNA (491 nucleotides) under uncultured bacterium. Its description in RNAcentral is "bacterial SSU rRNA". It matches the Rfam family "Bacterial small subunit ribosomal RNA", at positions 28 to 507 of the family's 1533-position model. The record is from RNAcentral.